UAUGGCCAUAAUACCAUGGACGUGCCUGGUAUCAUCUGAUCUCAGAAGCUAAACAGGCUCUGGCUUGAUUAAUACUUGGAUGGAAGAAAACAAAGUGUGCCCAUUU
This is a ribosomal RNA of Pan paniscus (pygmy chimpanzee), 106 nucleotides long. NCBI's taxonomy places the organism in Eukaryota, Metazoa, Chordata, Mammalia, Primates, Hominidae. The record is from Ensembl.